This 814-nucleotide long non-coding RNA is filed under the name Hordeum vulgare. RNAcentral's name for it is "long non-coding RNA (HVUL_LNC017843)". The record is from RNAcentral. Lineage: Eukaryota; Viridiplantae; Streptophyta; Magnoliopsida; Poales; Poaceae.
CCCGAUCCUUCUACGACAUGUUCGAGAAGGGUCAGAUCAGCGUCAUUCUCGAAGAGCAAUUGGGUGCAGCCUUGCAAGGGCGCAUCAGGCUGGGCCUCCUCUAUUUCCGGUGAGUUCAUCCUAUUUUUUUUCUCCUUCACUAGCAUUCAUUUUUAUGUAGUUAUUUCAUUUAUCCAUGACAUCGACCAUCCUCUGUUUUAGUUAUGAAGUAAUAACAAAUGUGUCGUGCAAUGCCUGUAGGAAAGAGUUUAUAUUAGUUGUUCCAGUCUUUGCCUAUACCUUUAUGGCGAGUAGGCUUAACUCUUUCGAACUGUAAUCUUGUCUUAGGUGGAUUCGUUUUUACAACCAACAGAAAAGAAUUGUGCCUUGGACCAUUUUUUUUNNNNNNNNNNAUAAUCUUGUCUUAGGUGGAUUUGUUUUUACAACCAACAGAAAAGAAUUGUGCCUUGGACCAUUUUUUUUUCUGUAAUUGAGAAAACUUUCAAGCUAUAAUCGUACGGGCUGAUCUGAUACAUUAUUAUUUGGCCCCACCAGAUUAACGGUUCAUAAUUACUGAUUAAUGUGGUAAUUUUUAGAGAGUUCCUAAUUAGUAUAAGUAUAGACUUCAAGAAUUAAUAGGUGCUAGAGGUACUAACAUUUUGUUCUUCUGUUUCCUAGGUUCAGAAAAUAAUGGAGAAGAUCUCAGAAAAAACAAGAACGCAGAUUGCUGCUAAGGGAUAUAUUCUUCAGGAUGGAUUUGUGAUGAGUAAUCUCCCUGUUCCACCGAGCAUGCAGGAACAUCAAGGGUAUGUAGAUAAUAUGCAAAUGAAGUGCN